GAUGAACGCUGGCGGCGUGCCUAAUACAUGCAAGUCGAGCGAACGGACGAGAAGCUUGCUUCUCUGAUGUUAGCGGCGGACGGGUGAGUAACACGUGGAUAACCUACCUAUAAGACUGGGAUAACUUCGGGAAACCGGAGCUAAUACCGGAUAAUAUUUUGAACCGCAUGGUUCAAAAGUGAAAGACGGUCUUGCUGUCACUUAUAGAUGGAUCCGCGCUGCAUUAGCUAGUUGGUAAGGUAACGGCUUACCAAGGCAACGAUGCAUAGCCGACCUGAGAGGGUGAUCGGCCACACUGGAACUGAGACACGGUCCAGACUCCUACGGGAGGCAGCAGUAGGGAAUCUUCCGCAAUGGGCGAAAGCCUGACGGAGCAACGCCGCGUGAGUGAUGAAGGUCUUAGGAUCGUAAAACUCUGUUAUUAGGGAAGAACAUAUGUGUAAGUAACUGUGCACAUCUUGACGGUACCUAAUCAGAAAGCCAUGGCUAACUACGUG
Molecule: ribosomal RNA, 497 nt
Filed under: uncultured bacterium
Lineage: Bacteria
Description: partial 16S ribosomal RNA
Rfam family: Bacterial small subunit ribosomal RNA
Source: RNAcentral